GUGGGUAUAGCUCAGUAGUAGAGAGCUUGCCUAACAUGUAUGAGGCCCUGGGUUCAAUCCCCAGUACCACA
This 71-nucleotide transfer RNA is filed under the name Marmota marmota marmota (Alpine marmot). It matches the Rfam family "tRNA". Rfam says of the family: Transfer RNA (tRNA) molecules are approximately 80 nucleotides in length. RNAcentral also lists the same sequence under 2 other names. The record is from Rfam by way of RNAcentral. Lineage: Eukaryota; Metazoa; Chordata; Mammalia; Rodentia; Sciuridae.